AAUAACCAAUGGAAUAAAGGUGCCUUAAAGGCUUAAUAGGGAAGCUGGUGAAAAUCCAGCGCGGCCCCGCCACCGUAACUGGGGACGAAAGUCGCAAAGUGCCACUGGGAUUUCCUGGGAAGGUGCGACGAGUAGGUUGAUCCAGAAGCCGGGAGACCUGCCUUUGUUCCAAAGUGUUU
This 179-nucleotide non-coding RNA is filed under the name Thermosipho melanesiensis. The record is from RNAcentral. Lineage: Bacteria; Thermotogati; Thermotogota; Thermotogae; Thermotogales; Fervidobacteriaceae. RNAcentral also lists the same sequence under 1 other name.